RNAcentral lists this small nuclear RNA (18 nucleotides) under Arabidopsis thaliana (thale cress). RNAcentral describes it as "snRNA_16793". The record is from RNAcentral. Lineage: Eukaryota; Viridiplantae; Streptophyta; Magnoliopsida; Brassicales; Brassicaceae.
GCGCGCUAACCUAGAACC